ACUCAAAUGAAUUGACGGGGACCCGCACAAGCAGUGGAGUAUGUGGUUUAAUUCGAAGCAACGCGAAGAACCUUACCAGGUCUUGACAUCCCUUUGACCGGUACAGAGAUGUACCUUUCCUUCGGGACAGAGGAGACAGGUGGUGCAUGGUUGUCGUCAGCUCGUGUCGUGAGAUGUUGGGUUAAGUCCCGCAACGAGCGCAACCCUUGAUCUUAGUUGCCAGCAAUUCGGUUGGGCACUCUAAGGUGACUGCCGGUGACAAACCGGAGGAAGGUGGGGAUGACGUCAAAUCAUCAUGCCCCUUAUGACCUGGGCUACACACGUACUACAAUGGCCGAUACAACGGGAAGCGAAGUCGCGAGGCGGAGCCAAUCCUAUCAAAGUCGGUCUCAGUUCGGAUUGCAGGCUGCAACUCGCCUGCAUGAAGUCGGAAUUGCUAGUAAUCGCGGAUCAGCAUGCCGCGGUGAAUACGUUCCCGGGUCUUGCACACACCGCCCGU
Molecule: ribosomal RNA, 499 nt
Filed under: uncultured bacterium
Lineage: Bacteria
Description: partial 16S ribosomal RNA
Rfam family: Bacterial small subunit ribosomal RNA
Source: RNAcentral